GAUGAAGAACGUAGCAAAAUGCGAUAAGUAAUGUGAAUUGCAGAAUUCAGUGAAUCAUCGAAUCUUUGAACGCACAUUGCGCCCGCUAGUAUUCUGGCGGGCAUGCCUGUUCGAGCGUCAUUUCAACCAUCAAGCCCUAGGCUUGCGUUGGAGCCCUGCGGCUGCCGCAGGCUCCCAAAUCCAGUGGCGGGCUCGUCGUCGUACCGAGUGCAGUAAACAUCCUCGCUCAGGGAACGUGACGGGUUCUUGCCGUGAAACCCCCCACAUAUCAAGGUUGACCUCGGAUCAGGUAGGAAUACCCGCUGAACUUAAGCAUAUCAAUAAGCGGAGA
Molecule: unclassified non-coding RNA, 331 nt
Filed under: soil metagenome
Description: partial contains 5.8S ribosomal RNA, internal transcribed spacer 2, and large subunit ribosomal RNA
Rfam family: 5.8S ribosomal RNA (bases 1-120)
Source: RNAcentral